Artibeus jamaicensis (Jamaican fruit-eating bat) is the source of this 887-nucleotide long non-coding RNA. RefSeq lists it as uncharacterized. NCBI's taxonomy places the organism in Eukaryota, Metazoa, Chordata, Mammalia, Chiroptera, Phyllostomidae. The record is from RefSeq and is a predicted model, not a curated record. The transcript is spliced from 3 exons.
AAUUACGGAAGUUAAGGUCUGGGGAGGUUGGAUUUCCGGCUGUGAUGAGGUCCAAGGGCCUGCCAACUCACAAGGUAGCAGGUGAGCAAACUGAGGCGUCCCCGUGCCAUCUGCACUUUGCUGGUGCUCUGAUUUGACUUCCCGCGGCUGCGCUGUGCUCCUCUGGUGGCUUCGGGCUCUGGCGAUGCCACGCAAGGAAGGUGCCUGAUGUGCAGGAAGAAGGGGGUAAAACAAAUGCAUCCCGCAGAGGCGCUGCGUCAAGAGUCACUGCCCUAAAGAAGACUUCCCGUGCUGGCUGCCUCACCGUCCUCUGCUCGUUUCCAGGCCCCAGUUCCCCGAAAUCCGGCCCGGCCGUAGUCACUCUCUCCUGUCACCCUGGGCUUUCGGGUCCAGAGAGCUUCACCCUUCUCGGUCCGUCCAGUCCUCUCUCGAGCCAGAAAAUGUUUUUUUCUUUCUUCCACCUUCAUUUCUACAUUUUCUUCUGAUUCUCUUUGCAUCGCUAUUGUUCCAUCUCAACAUUCUUGGGUCUUUCUCAUCUGAUUCCCUUCAAAUGAAAGAAAUCCCUUUCCUUUAUAAAAUGUAUUCACUGAAGUAGUGGAAAUAAAAUAGACACUUGGGUACUCACCAUCUAGAUUUUGCUUUUAUUUUCUCUCUUCUUUUUUUUGGUCAUUUUCUUUUCCUCCAAGAAACGAAAUCCAUCUUUACCCCCUUUUGGUUUUUGUAUUUCCGAGGAUUCUUCACCUCGCAUCUCUUUUCCUCUAACUUUCCGUGGCAGACGAAGAGGCCCACCGUAAACCCCUUCUCUUCUUUCUGGUCACAUGCUCGCUCCACGGAGACUGCGUGUCUUGUCCUGCUGUGCAGCGAGCUCUGAGUUGGCGGGUGCAGUC